AAGCCAAUCACUUCUAGCAGAGGACCGAUAUCCAGUCGAAGCUGUGUAAAAUGUUUUAGUAGAAGAGAUAAAUUGAUUUUAUCAUGCAAAUUGCAAGUUAUUUCCAAUAAUAACUUCAUUUUGGAGGGUUUGUAUAAAGUCUUGAUAACUCCCUUUUUUGAUAAUUACAAGUGGUUGCUCGCAUAAGCAAUUCCUUCUCGGGCGG
Molecule: long non-coding RNA, 205 nt
Filed under: Elaeis guineensis (African oil palm)
Lineage: Eukaryota; Viridiplantae; Streptophyta; Magnoliopsida; Arecales; Arecaceae
Description: long non-coding RNA (EGUI_LNC026563)
Source: RNAcentral